GCUGUCGUCAGCUCGUGUUGUGAAAUGUUGGGUUAAGUCCCGCAACGAGCGCAACCCUUAUCCUUGUUUGCCAGCGAGUAAUGUCGGGAACUCCAGGGAGACUGCCGGUGAUAAACCGGAGGAAGGUGGGGACGACGUCAAGUCAUCAUGGCCCUUACGAGUAGGGCUACACACGUGCUACAAUGGCGCAUACAGAGGGCAGCCAACUUGCGAAAGUGAGCGAAUCCCAAAAAGUGCGUCGUAGUCCG
This 248-nucleotide ribosomal RNA is filed under the name uncultured Vibrio sp. RNAcentral's name for it is "partial 16S ribosomal RNA". It matches the Rfam family "Bacterial small subunit ribosomal RNA", at positions 1048 to 1295 of the family's 1533-position model. The record is from RNAcentral. Lineage: Bacteria; Pseudomonadati; Pseudomonadota; Gammaproteobacteria; Vibrionales; Vibrionaceae.